This is a long non-coding RNA of Xyrauchen texanus (razorback sucker), 1306 nucleotides long. RefSeq lists it as uncharacterized. The transcript has 8 exons. The record is from RefSeq and is a predicted model, not a curated record. NCBI's taxonomy places the organism in Eukaryota, Metazoa, Chordata, Actinopteri, Cypriniformes, Catostomidae.
GGAGCGCGUAUUUUCAUCUGGUCAUCUGGACUUUCAUCUUGCACGUUUUCUGAUUCAAGUUCAAAGCAAGGCUAAUCAAGAUGAUCUGGAAAUCAACUGAAAAACAACAAUCGGAGGGAAAAUUUAAAGACAGCAAUUGGUGGAUGAAAUGAAGAGAAAAAACCCUGAUGCUGUCUUUGUUAAUCAGAAGAUGGACAUGACUCUCUCCUUGAGGAGAAAGUAUGUUGUGAUCAACAAGCCUCCAGUAAGCCAAAUACUUCAACGUUGGCCAGACUUUUUAGAGAAAGUCAGGUGUAUCAAGAAUUCAACCGGUGGUUGGGAAGAACCUUAAGCAAGAAUUUUAUGGGUCUCUUGAUCGUCACUGUCCUCAACUGAUUCAGAUCUUCAGGUCAAAGAGAGAUCUCGCCGGGCAGAUUUUGAGCGAUCUUCUGCAACAAGCCAAGACCUCUGAUCUCGUUGACAUGCGAUGUGUUGCCAUGAGAGGGCUUCCAGUACUUCUUGGUGAUGACCCAACUGAGUUCUUCAAAGCAUGCUUUGCUUCUGAUGAUGGAGACUCGUACCAACAUGUGCCAGUUGGAAUCCUCAGCUUAGAAAAUUAAGAUGUGGCUCUGCAACCCCUGUCCAUCCAUCUCCACCCAUCCUCGGUGGGAAUCAUCUUGGAGGGGAAUGUUGUAAUGGACAAUUUAGACAACAUACCCCAGGCCAUGUGUCUUCUUUUUGGUUUAACUUACGCACUGCACCUAGACUACCCAAAGUGCAUGGGCAACACCUUUCUUUUCAUUCAGCAAGUUUUGCUAGGUUUAGGAAAGGAGUUGAAGGGCAAGAUUCUGGCUGUAACAAAUCAGCUUACCAUGUAAACAGGUAAAUGCAUUUUUCUUCUGGUUCUCUUUUCAGAAUCGGUUGAGGUUUGGAGACAGCCUCAUGGCUCUGAAGAAAAGGAGUAUACACUUAAGACUGCUGAGCAGAAACUCUUGCAAGAGGACCUACCAAAAAGCAUGAAGAGAAAGAGGGUACCCAACAAACUUUACCUUGACACACAGGAGGAAACUGUAGAACAAGUUGCAAAAAAGAAAAACUACAGACUCAUAGCUGCAAGACAGUCUGAAUUAGACGUUCUUCCCCAAGAAGAACCUAACCACAGCCCAGUGGGGACUGCUUUAGAGGCUCUUGAGGAGGAGAUCAGGGCCCUCAGGGAGGAGAAUGAAAGACUGCAUGACCAGGAUCUUCUGCAGCCAGUAAAGAUCUUGAGACCCAAGUCAAGGCUUUACAUAAGGAGAACACCAGGCUGCGCAAAAUGGCAGUUAAA